RNAcentral lists this ribosomal RNA (465 nucleotides) under Vreelandella stevensii. RNAcentral's name for it is "partial 16S ribosomal RNA". It matches the Rfam family "Bacterial small subunit ribosomal RNA", at positions 338 to 795 of the family's 1533-position model. Lineage: Bacteria; Pseudomonadati; Pseudomonadota; Gammaproteobacteria; Oceanospirillales; Halomonadaceae. The record is from RNAcentral.
CCUACGGGGGGCAGCAGUGGGGAAUAUUGGACAAUGGGGGGAACCCUGAUCCAGCCAUGCCGCGUGUGUGAAGAAGGCCCUCGGGUUGUAAAGCACUUUCAGUGAGGAAGAACGCCUGGUGGUUAAUACCCAUCAGGAAAGACAUCACUCACAGAAGAAGCACCGGCUAACUCCGUGCCAGCAGCCGCGGUGAUACGGAGGGUGUGAGCGUUAAUCGGAAUUACUGGGCGUAAAGCGCGCGUAGGUGGCUUGAUAAGCCGGUUGUGAAAGCCCCGGGCUCAACCUGGGAACGGCAUCCGGAACUGUCAAGCUAGAGUGCAGGAGAGGAAGGUAGAAUUCCCGGUGUAGCGGUGAAAUGCGUAGAGAUCGGGAGGAAUACCAGUGGCGAAGGCGGCCUUCUGGACUGACACUGACACUGAGGUGCGAAAGCGUGGGUAGCAAACAGGAUUAGAUACCCCGGUAGUC